UUUUAUGGAGAGUUUGAUCCUGGCUCAGGAUGAACGCUGGCGGCGUGCCUAAUACAUGCAAGUCGAGCGAACGGACGAGAAGCUUGCUUCUCUGAUGUUAGCGGCGGACGGGUGAGUAACACGUGGAUAACCUACCUAUAAGACUGGGAUAACUUCGGGAAACCGGAGCUAAUACCGGAUAAUAUUUUGAACCGCAUGGUUCAAAAGUAAAAGACGGUCUUGCUGUCACUUAUAGAUGGAUCCGCGCUGCAUUAGCUAGUUGGUAAGGUAACGGCUUACCAAGGCAACGAUGCAUAGCCGACCUGAGAGGGUGAUCGGCCACACUGGAACUGAGACACGGUCCAGACUCCUACGGGAGGCAGCAGUAGGGAAUCUUCCGCAAUGGGCGAAAGCCUGACGGAGCAACGCCGCGUGAGUGAUGAAGGUCUUCGGAUCGUAAAACUCUGUUAUUAGGGAAGAACAUAUGUGUAAGUAACUGUGCACAUCUUGACGGUACCUAAUCAGAAAGC
RNAcentral lists this ribosomal RNA (509 nucleotides) under Staphylococcus aureus. RNAcentral's name for it is "bacterial SSU rRNA". It matches the Rfam family "Bacterial small subunit ribosomal RNA", at positions 1 to 491 of the family's 1533-position model. The record is from RNAcentral. Lineage: Bacteria; Bacillati; Bacillota; Bacilli; Caryophanales; Staphylococcaceae.